Molecule: ribosomal RNA, 459 nt
Filed under: uncultured bacterium
Lineage: Bacteria
Description: partial 16S ribosomal RNA
Rfam family: Bacterial small subunit ribosomal RNA
Source: RNAcentral
CCUACGGGCGGCAGCAGUGAGGAAUAUUGGUCAAUGGGCGGGAGCCUGAACCAGCCAAGCCGCGUGAGGGAAGAAGGUACAGCGUAUCGUAAACCUCUUUUGUCAGGGAACAAAGGCGGGGACUAGUCCCCUGAUGAGGGUACCUGAAGAAAAAGCAUCGGCUAACUCCGUGCCAGCAGCCGCGGUAAUACGGAGGAUGCGAGCGGUAUCCGGAUUUAUUGGGUUUAAAGGGUGCGUAGGCGGCCUGUUAAGUCAGCGGUAAAAGUCCGGGGCUCAACCCCGGCGAGCCGUUGAAACUGGCGGGCUGGAGUGGGAGAGAAGUACGCGGAAUGCGCGGUGUAGCGGUGAAAUGCUUAGAUAUCGCGCAGAACCCCGAUUGCGAAGGCAGCGUACCGGCGCCACACUGACGCUGAGGCACGAAAGCGUGGGUAUCGAACAGGAGUAGAUACCCUAGUAGUC